CAAAGGCAUGCUCCCCCCUCCACCCACCUCCUUGGAGAUGUCCUUUCAUUUUGGGGUAAUGGGGACAUUAGGAGCAACCUCCUAGGGUUGUUGUGAGAAUUAAAUGAACUAGCGCAGCCUGAGGUAGGGCUGGGCAGAGACCUCAGCACAUGUUUGUUGAAAGGCUUGCAGGUGGGUCCGCUCUCACCUGUGCAUUUCUCUCACUUGUCUCGUCUAUUCUCACACAGACUCCUGCAGUCCCUGCGCACCAGGUAGGGGCUCCUAAAGACAGCAGGCCGUCGGGGAGACUUUGAGUGAGGACAUGUGGCCAUUUCCAGAGCACUUUCUAUGUAAUACGCCUAUGUUGUUUCUUUGUAAGAUGUGUGUGUACAGGGGGUAGUGUCAUGUCCAGAGAGGGAUGAAUUGGCAGUGCUAUUCAUGAUUUUAAACAGGUAGGUGGGAAAGAGAACUGGGAGAGGACAGCCUCACUCAUAGGCUUGGACUUAAAUUUACGCUGAGGACAGUGAAGUAUUUUGCCACGUUGCUUGGCAAGAGAAGGGUUCAGAGUUGGACUUGGGUGGCCCUGAUGGUCCCAUCCCCUGUCCUCUGCCUAAAGUUCUUCGAAGAGUCCUUUUAUCUCCUAUCAGACAUUUCACAAUGGCAAAGUCUGUCUGAAAUCCCAGCUUCCCAAGGGUGGUCUUGGGGAGCUGCUGGGGAGGGGGUGCCCAAGUCUGGUCGCAUGUGCUGACUUCACCUCUUAGUAAUGAUGUGACUUACACAAGUCACUUAGCUUCCACGUUUCAGUUCCUUUCACACCUAAAUAGGUAUUUUAAAAAGAAGAAGAAGAAAAACAAAUAAAGAAAAAAAAAAAAAGGGGGGGCGGGGGAGGGGGGAAGAAAUCAGUUUAUCUACCCCACAGAGUGCUUUUGAAGACCAAACGGUGUACCUUAUAAGAAAGUGCUUUGUAAAUUGCUGUGAAAUUGCAAAAUACUAGCCAAUGAGGCUGUUCAUAUCGCCCACUGUCCAGCCCUAUAUUCUCUCACGAUAGUGAGCACCCCGUAGGUGCUGGGUGUAUUUGUGUUCAACAAAUAAUUUCCAGAAGUAAAAAAGAAAUUAAUUCAACAAACAUUUUCUGAGUUGCUGACCAUGUGCCCAACUCACCAGGCUAUGGCUGAGGUACAAAGACAAUUAGAAUAGUCUCUCUCGGUGGCUAAGCGAGGCCCUCAUUUUACCAGCACUUUCUUUGGUUGCCUUUUAAGCCAACCAGUUUUGUCCAGACAAGACAAAAACGCAACUGGGUUGCUUUAGGGAAGCCCAGCUUGGAGUGGACAAUAGUCCAGGCCUCUGAAAGGGCCUGAUUGGAUUAUGAGGCAAAUAAAGGCAGAAAAGGAAGACUUAGAAGGUGACAAAUGCAGUGGGCGGAGACCCGCUCUGAGUUAAUUCAGGGUGACCCUUUCUAUCUUCCAGAGUGGCCAGGGGCGUUCACGAUUGCCCGUCCCCUCGUUGCUCUUCAGAGCACGUGGAGACUGGAGCUACCCUGGUCCCUCUCUUCCAAUCGUCCAUUCAUUUGAUGCUCACAAUCCCCUGUCCUGACCCAGGGCCGGCCUGCCAUCCCCAGGGAAGCAGAGGUUACCAAGUGGUUUCUCCGUCUGGGGCCCCCCACAUAGUGUUGCCCUCAUGACCUCUUCGGUUUCAGCAGUGGACAUGUACCUGUUUGAAGCCCGCACCUCCACCUCAGUUCCCCCUCUGGACUCCUGACUCUGCUGUCUCUACCUGGAGCCCACUUCCUCCUGUUCUCCUUCCUUGCCACUGCAGUGUCUGUCUUUCCUUCACAGCCCGGCUUCUCGAGAGGCCUGUCUACACUCGCUGCUUUCCUUCCUCACCUCCAAUUUCCCCUCCAACCCACUGCUUCCUGACUCGCUCUUCUCCAUCGAUCGGCUCUCGCUCAGGCCUGUCGCGUCUUCCUGUGCCAUUUCCUGUUGUGCUCAGGUUCCACGAACCGCCCAUCUCCACAGAGGAGCAGCUGGCAUCGCCCACCAGCCAUGCUGGCUGAAGACUGAGGACCCCUGGACACCUGCCACGAGGACCCCGGGACGCUCUGUGCGAGGAUCCCAGGAUGCCUAGCGUGAGGACCCCAGGAUGCCCAGCGCGAGGACCCCGCGAGGACCCCACAAGGACCCCAGUUCACCCAGCGCGAGGACCCAUCCCUUCACAAAGACAUUGUGCCACCCUCCUGGAUUUGGGCCAAAGUCAUCACCCUGAACCCUGCGUGGGACCCUGGACACACGGACACGGACACACGCCCUCAGGACCCUCCAACUGUAAAUUACUCUCCCUCUGGCUCUUGUACUAACUAGGAUGGAAGCGCCCUUGUGAGUUGGGGCCUUCAAAGGGCUGAGGAGAAAAUGCAGACGGAGGGACCAGCGUCUCAAAUAGGCUUCAAGCCUCCAUGACCUGAGCUCACCCCCUGGAAAUGUCUGGAAAACAUAAUGGGCAGGUUUUCUGUCUUCAAAGUUUCCAUCUAAACCUCUUCAAAUUCCUUAUUGUUUAGGGCUGAGACACUUGGGGACGGUCAUGGGGACUUUCUUUUGUAUCUGUCUUGAAAGGCCAAAAUAUUUUUAUAUUGCUGUAGACAAAGCCACCUAUUUACGAAAUGAACUCUGUCCCGUCGUUUCCCACCGGGAAGACCGUGCUAUGUUUGUGUCUCUCUGUAUUCUGGGGUCUUGAAACAGGUUUCUCAUGGGGAUGGCCAUUCACUGGGGCCCAGAGGGGCAGAAGGGGAAGUCUCUACCCUGCCAAGGGGUCUGGGGAAAGGAGGGGGCGGGGCCAGCCUUGGAUCUGGCCCUUGUAUGUCUAGGGGUGAACCCUGGGAGAGUUGGGUGAUAAAAGAACAUUUGCUGUGUUUGCCCCACAUCUGCCAUUUGUGUGUGUUUCUGGGCUGUAGGUUUGCAUACUUUGGUGGUUAACAUGGUGGUGGGAAGUAGGAAGGGCCAAAAGGGCACGGGUGCUCCGGUUUUCUUGUUGUGAGUCUGUUUCACUGGUGUGUGUUACACUACAUAAUAAAUGUUUAGACGGAUGAAUGAAAGAAGCAUGCGGGGGAUAAAGAAACAAAUAGGUAUAGAAGUAAAGUGAGUAAGACA
This is a long non-coding RNA of Acomys russatus (golden spiny mouse), 3119 nucleotides long. RefSeq lists it as uncharacterized. The transcript has 5 exons. NCBI's taxonomy places the organism in Eukaryota, Metazoa, Chordata, Mammalia, Rodentia, Muridae. The record is from RefSeq and is a predicted model, not a curated record.